GGACUACCAGGGUAUCUAAUCCCGUUCGCUCCCCUGGCUUUCGCGUCUCAGCGUCAGAAAACGUCCAGGAGCUCGCUUUCGCCACGGGCGUUCCUUCCGAUCUCAACGCAUUUCACCGCUCCACCGGAAGUUCCAGCUCCCCCUACGUUCCUCCAGGCUGGUCGUAUCGGCGCCACUUCCCCGGUUAAGCCGGGGGAUUUCAACGGCCGACGUUCCAACCCGCCUACACGCGCUUUAAGCCCAGUGAUUCCGAAUAACGUUCGCACGGUUCGUCUUACCGCGGCUGCUGGCAC
Molecule: ribosomal RNA, 293 nt
Filed under: uncultured Planctomycetota bacterium
Lineage: Bacteria; Pseudomonadati; Planctomycetota
Description: uncultured planctomycete partial 16S ribosomal RNA
Source: RNAcentral